Bubalus bubalis (water buffalo) is the source of this 1009-nucleotide long non-coding RNA. RefSeq lists it as uncharacterized. Lineage: Eukaryota; Metazoa; Chordata; Mammalia; Artiodactyla; Bovidae. The record is from RefSeq and is a predicted model, not a curated record. The transcript has 5 exons.
UGGCUGAAAAUCUCAGAGUUCCCUGGGUGGGAUCUGAAACUGGACCUGAAUAUAGAGAGCAAGGAGAGACCAAGAGGCAGAUUGGUAGGUGGUGGGUUUGAUAAACGUUCCCAGAGGCUUACCUCGGGCAGCUGCAAGAGGAGUGGAUCCCAGCAUCCACCAUCCGGCAGGAUCUCAAAAGCCCGCCUCCGCUUGCCCACUGGCUCACGGGUGAGCGCAGUCGCGACCUCUCCGUGACCUCCUCCACCACGUGCCUGGCCCCGUGGCCAGCGUGUGCUGGCCUUGGCUCAGACCCAGGUGGUUAAAGGCGAACUGGAGACCCCAAGGAGGUCCCGAGGAGAGGGUGGCAGGAGAAGGCGGAGGCGCGAGGACCCUCGGCUCCCAGGAGAAGGGACCCAGCAGCUGCUGAAUGUAGUGUUAAGACCGGCACGUGAUAGCCCGGCCUCCCAGCUCUUCUCACGGCCGAGCCGUGUUCACAGCGAGGAGUGAGUGAGCGUCUCAGUGAGCGGGGUCAGCCCAGCAGGACCAGGAGAUGCAGAACCUGUAUUGUAUCAAGAUCUAAGGAAAAUUUUUCUGGUGUUUCCACAGAAGAGGUUUUAGGACCAGGCUUAUGCUGGCUUCAUAAAAUGAAUUGAGAAGGAGAGUUUUAGGUUAAUAGAAGAGUUGCAAGGAUAUAACAGCAGGAGAAAGGAGAAGCAACAGUUUGAGGGCUGUGUGGUUUCUCUGAGAGGAAACUGUCCUGGGAUACUUGGGUGUCCGUGGAGCAAGAAACAUGCAAAGGGGAAGUUUCUUCAAAUAAUGCUGCCUGCAGGAUCCUGGAAGCCCUGGAACCUCAAAUCCUAGCUCUUCGAGGAGAGUCCAGUUUCUUCCAUCAACAUGGACCUCAGGACCCUGGUGGGAGGAAGGGCCUGGAAGGUAAGCCUGCUGCUAAGUCGCUUCAGUCGUGUCUGACUCUGUGCGACCCCAUAGACGGCAGCCCACCAGGCUCCACUGCCCCUGGGAUUCUCCA